This 470-nucleotide ribosomal RNA is filed under the name Phyllidiopsis annae. RNAcentral's name for it is "partial large subunit ribosomal RNA". It matches the Rfam family "Bacterial large subunit ribosomal RNA", at positions 1801 to 2602 of the family's 2925-position model. Lineage: Eukaryota; Metazoa; Mollusca; Gastropoda; Nudibranchia; Phyllidiidae. The record is from RNAcentral.
UGUUUAUCAAAAACAUAGUCUUAGGAUACAGAUUUAAGAUUAAACCUGCCCAAUGUAUACGAGCAAAAUUAUAAAUGGCCGCGGUACUUUGACCGUGCUAAGGUAGCGCAAUCAAUUGGCUUUUAAAUGGAGUCAGGUAUGAAUGGGAUCACGGAGUUUAGCUGUCUCUAAACUAAUUUAUUGAAAUUACUAUGUAGGUGAAAAAGCCUUCAAGAAGAAAAAAGACGAGAAGACCCUUAGAGUUUUAUUUAUAGUAGAAAAUUUUUCUAUAAUAAUUUAGUUGGGGCAACAGAGGAACAUUUAAUCAAAUCUCCUUAAUUUUAUUUAUCGACUUUUGUAAAUUUAUACAAACUACCUUAGGGAUAACAGCAUAAUUUAGUUAAUAAGUUUGUGACCUCGAUGUUGGACUAGGAAACUAAAGGGCUAGCCGCUUUUUAGGAAGGUUCUGUUCGAACUAGUAAUCCUACAUG